Molecule: ribosomal RNA, 254 nt
Filed under: uncultured bacterium
Lineage: Bacteria
Description: partial 16S ribosomal RNA
Rfam family: Bacterial small subunit ribosomal RNA
Source: RNAcentral
UACGUAGGGUGCCAGCGUUGUCCGGAAUUAUUGGGCGUAAAGAGCUUGUAGGCGGUCUGUCGCGUCGAUCGUGAAAACUUGGGGCUUAACCCUGAGCUUGCGGUCGAUACGGGCAUGACUGGAGUUCGGCAGGGGAGACUGGAAUUCCUGGUGUAGCGGUGAAAUGCGCAGAUAUCAGGAGGAACACCGGUGGCGAAGGCGGCGACCUGGGUCGAGACUGACGCUGAGGCGCGAAAGCGUGGGGAGCAAACAGG